RNAcentral lists this ribozyme (115 nucleotides) under Aedes aegypti (yellow fever mosquito). Its description in RNAcentral is "drz-agam-1 ribozyme". It matches the Rfam family "drz-agam-1 ribozyme". The record is from Rfam by way of RNAcentral. Lineage: Eukaryota; Metazoa; Arthropoda; Insecta; Diptera; Culicidae.
UUCCCAGUAACUCCUAUCCCUACCUCCUCGUGGUACUGGCCGGGGUACGAGUAAUCUAAGGGAGAUCGGAUAACCAACCCCGGUGGGAACUUUGGUCGUAUGCUGUCAAGGAAGG